RNAcentral lists this transfer RNA (72 nucleotides) under Pseudomonadota bacterium. RNAcentral describes it as "tRNA-Gly". It matches the Rfam family "tRNA". Rfam says of the family: Transfer RNA (tRNA) molecules are approximately 80 nucleotides in length. Their secondary structure includes four short double-helical elements and three loops (D, anti-codon, and T loops). Lineage: Bacteria; Pseudomonadati; Pseudomonadota. The record is from RNAcentral. RNAcentral also lists the same sequence under 3 other names.
GCGGGCGUAGUUCAGCGGUAGAACGUCAGCUUCCCAAGCUGAAUGUCGCCGGUUCGAUUCCGGUCGCCCGCU